AAAAAAAAAGUGUCGUGUGUCCUAGUAUUUGUUUUGCACUUGGUUAAUUGUCCUUUAAAGUGCAGUUAUUAAUAAUUAUACGAUGGGAUUCAAAUGAUGAAGUGGUCUCGUUUGCAUAGAGUUGUGUCUGUAACCUGUAACUUUUCAAAUGAAAAGCUACUUAUGUUUCAACAAGAGGUGUAAUGAGUUUUAUAUACACCAAACACCUUCACCGACUUUAAAAAAUAAAAAAUAAAAAAAAGAGUUCAUACCCGUGAAAAACAAAGAGUAUUCCCCAGUACUCUAUUGUUAAAUUCUUCCUAAUUUUGUCUUGAGAGUACAAAUAUAUAAUUGGUUUGUCAAAGUCUUAAAAUGAAGUAUUUCAAUUUAGGAUUUUCGAUUAAUGAAUAAUGAGAGAUGGACG
RNAcentral lists this long non-coding RNA (403 nucleotides) under Prunus persica (peach). Its description in RNAcentral is "long non-coding RNA (PPER_LNC003056)". The record is from RNAcentral. Lineage: Eukaryota; Viridiplantae; Streptophyta; Magnoliopsida; Rosales; Rosaceae.